Molecule: long non-coding RNA, 747 nt
Filed under: Capra hircus (goat)
Lineage: Eukaryota; Metazoa; Chordata; Mammalia; Artiodactyla; Bovidae
Description: lncRNA (ENSCHIG00010010400.1)
Source: RNAcentral
AUGGGCCCGUGGAUGCGGCAGAUGGACCUCGGGUCACUUUCUCGCUCCUUCCCGGCAUGUGUCCCACGAGGGAGGGAUAGGCCAAGGCCAGGGCCAGCGUCCCAGGAGGCGGGGCUGGAGCGCCUAGCCUGCCUUCCUCCCCGCUGCCCUCCAGGUUCUGCGCCCCCGGGCUUGGCGCUGGCGGACACCUCCCAGGGGGCGUGGAGCCAAGACACCUGGGGCACGCGGCCAAGAGCUGCCGCCGCCCGCCCCUCCCCCAACCCCUGCUGGGGGUGUUUAUCUUCGCCGUUCCUCCUCGCUCUUUUCCCUUUCACUUUUCUUUUCGUUGGGGGUUGGGACUCCGUGGGUUCCAGGCGCCCAGGGAAACCCCAGCCUAUUUGUUUGUGGCCGCAGAGGCCCGACGCCCGGGAGCCGGGUGACCGCGCCCGCCCCGCUGCACUGCCUGCCGCCCCUGACCCUGCAGCCCGGAGUCGAUGGAGCCGAGCACAGACUGCUAGUCCACUUGUGGGUGCCGCGCGGAGCCCCCGCGGCCCCACGGUGCGCUCCGCUCUUUCCGCGUCGCCGGGUGCCGUGCGCUCCACCUACUCCGCGCUGGGAGGCGGAGAGCAAGGGAAGCGCGCCCGGCUGCCCGCGCCGAGCUGCGGGGUUCCGAGAAAGGGAAGUCACGCCGCACUGAGCGCUGAGUUCUGCACCUCAUCCAGCUCGGAAAGUUCAAGUAAGAUGGAGAGCAUAAGUAGAAUACAAUAA